NNNNNNNNNNNNNNUGGGGCUGGUUUUUGAAUGCCUGGGGGGACCCGCGGGGGGGGGUCCGUCCGUCUGUCCGUCUGUCUGUGGGCUCCGGUUAUUGUUUAUCCCAACCUCGCCGUCACACCGCGCUGUGGGUCAGAGCGGCCCCUGCAUGACUGGGGGGGGCAUCGUGUGCUGGGACAGCGGGGAUGGAGGGGACAAAGGGGACAAAGGGGACAAAGGGGACAAAGGGGACAAAGGGGACGUUGGAGAUGUUGGGGACUUUGGGGACAAAGGAGACUUUGGGGACUUUGGGGACACUGGGGGCAUUGGGAACUUUGGGGACUUUGGGGACAAAAGAGACUUUGGGGACAUUGGGAACUUUGGGGACACUGGGAACUUUGGGGACACUGGGGACAUUGGGAUGUUUAGGGACAAAGGGGACACUGAGGACAAAGGAGAUCUUGGGGACACUGAGGACAUUGGGAACUUUAGGGACCUUGGGGACUUUGAGGACAUCGGAGACGUUGGAGACAUUGGGGACAUUGGGGACACUGGGAUCUUUGGGGACACUGGGGACGUUGGGAACUUUGAGGACAAAAGAGACUUUGGGGACAUUGGGGACUUUGGGGACACUGUGGACAUCGGGAACUUUGGGAACUUUGGGGACACUGGGAACUUUGGGACUUCAGGGACAAAGGAGAAUUUGGGGACAUUGGAGACAGAGACAUUGGGGACUUUGGGGACAAAGGAGACUUUAGGGACUUUGGGGACACUGGGGACAUUGGGGACAUUGGGAACUUUGGGGACAAAUGAGACUUUGGGGACAUUGAGGACAUUGGGAACUUUGGGGACAAAAGAGACUUUGGGGACUUUGGGGACUUUGAGGACAUUGGGGACAUUGGAGACGGAGACAUUGGGGACUUUGGGGACAAAGGAGACCCAUCGGGGUGUGGGGUAGGGCCAUUGGGUGGGACACCAUUACUGGAUAGGGGACAGCAGUGGGUGACAUUGGGACGGGGUGGGGGAUGUUAGGGAGUGGGGGGGUGCAGGUGACACCAUUGGUGGGAGAGGGGACACCAGGGGUGGAGCGGGUGACACUGGGACGGGCUGGGGGACUGUUGGUGGGAUGGGAGGGGUG
This 1117-nucleotide long non-coding RNA is filed under the name Chrysolophus pictus (golden pheasant). RNAcentral describes it as "lncRNA (ENSCPIG00010000007.1)". Lineage: Eukaryota; Metazoa; Chordata; Aves; Galliformes; Phasianidae. The record is from RNAcentral.